Molecule: long non-coding RNA, 1153 nt
Organism: Rhipicephalus sanguineus (brown dog tick)
Lineage: Eukaryota; Metazoa; Arthropoda; Arachnida; Ixodida; Ixodidae
Exons: 3
Source: RefSeq, a predicted model, not a curated record
AGUAAUGGGCUGUUGGUAGUUUGCACCAACUAGCCCAACUCUCAUUUCUAAUAUUACAACUGCCCAUACAGCUGAACCUUCAGACGGACCUCAAGAAGACUACGCCAGCAUUGCAUGAUCAAGCCAUUGUGACAGUGUCGCUGAGGGCACUUAAAUUCCAACUGCUCGUCACGACGGGCCCCAACAAGCUCAGCAGCGCCGAGCCGAACAAGACGGAGGUGCUCCCUUACACCGCUGUAUGCCGAGAGACCGUCCCGAACCAGAGUCAGUGGCACUGGUCGAUGAGUAAAGAGGACGGCUGCGUCCACGGCACGUACCAAGAUCGGUGGAUGGCUUCGCUUCAUGAAGCAAGUGAUAUUUACUUUGCAAACUUCACGACAGGUGUGGCUAUUUUCGACAUAGCCUAUGACGACUAUGAGGGCAUUUGCAAUCAAAAGUACCCCCUGACGACCAUGAUUGUGCGAGGCCUGAACAUUUCGCACAUAAUGCAUUAAGUGCUCGGAAACUGUAGCAUGCAUAAUAUUAAAAUAUCUGUUCCAUAAUGAAAAAACAAAGAAAGAACUGUCCCACAUGAAACAAUGAUUGACACAUAACUUCUUUUUCUUUUAACAUUUAGUUGUUUUUGCCUUUAUUAUUAAGAGCUAAAAAAUUAAAGAAAUGUACUUUGCAUUAAGAGCUCAGAAAAUGUAACACAUUUAAUACUAAAAAGGUCCAUUUCGGAAUAAAAAUAAACAAGAACUGUCACGCAUAAAAUGAUCACUGACGCACAACUUUUUUUUUAUUUUGAACAUCGUGGUUGUUUGCGGCUUUAAUGUAGGGUGAAAAAGCUAUAGACAACUAUUUUGAGAUACAAUUUAAAUGCGCACGAAGAACUGUCACGCAUAAAACGUUCAUUGUCACACGAUUUUGGUCUGUACAUCAUGAUCAUACGAAGCCUGGGCAUUGCAUAUAACAUAUGUGAAAAUUCUGGCUUAUUAAAAUGAAUAUGUCCGUUUUUGAAUAGAAUUAAUUAAACAUGAACUAUCACGCAUGAAACACUUGAAGCCACACUGCUUUCGUUGGAUCACGAUUGUUCGGAAGCUGAAUAUCUUGAGUAUUGUGCAUCAAGUGCCCAAAAUUGUAGCACAUAUCAAGUAUGUCGCAGAUGUCCGUU